RNAcentral lists this ribosomal RNA (253 nucleotides) under uncultured bacterium. Its description in RNAcentral is "partial 16S ribosomal RNA". It matches the Rfam family "Bacterial small subunit ribosomal RNA", at positions 524 to 776 of the family's 1533-position model. The record is from RNAcentral.
UACGGAGGGUGCAAGCGUUAUCCGGAUUUACUGGGCUUAAAGGGUGCGUAGGUGGGCAGUUAAGUCAGUGGUGAAAUCUCCGAGCUUAACUCGGAAACUGCCAUUGAUACUAUCUGUCUUGAAUAUCCUGGAGGUGAGCGGAAUAUGUCAUGUAGCGGUGAAAUGCUUAGAUAUGACAUAGAACACCAAUUGCGAAGGCAGCUCACUACGGGAUUAUUGACACUGAGGCACGAAAGCGUGGGGAUCAAACAGG